This 483-nucleotide ribosomal RNA is filed under the name uncultured bacterium. RNAcentral's name for it is "SSU rRNA". It matches the Rfam family "Bacterial small subunit ribosomal RNA", at positions 26 to 523 of the family's 1533-position model. The record is from RNAcentral.
AGGACGAACGCUGGCGGCGUGCUUAACACAUGCAAGUCGAGCGGUGAUCCUCCUUCGGGAGGUGAUCAGCGGCGAACGGGUGAGUAACACGUGGACAACCUGCCCCUCACACUGGGAUAACCUCGGGAAACCGGGGCUAAUACCGGAUACGACCUCGAGCGGCAUCUCUUGAGGUGGAAAGCUCCGACGGUGAGGGAUGGGCCCGCGGCCUAUCAGCUUGUUGGUGGGGUAAUGGCCUACCAAGUCGACGACGGGUAGCCGGCCUGAGAGGGCGACCGGCCACACUGGGACUGAGACACGGCCCAGACUCCUACGGGAGGCAGCAGUGGGGAAUAUUGCGCAAUGGGCGAAAGCCUGACGCAGCGACGCCGCGUGAGGGAUGAAGGCCUUCGGGUUGUAAACCGUCUUUCAGCAGGGACGAAGCGAAAGUGACGGUACCUGCAGAAGAAGCACCGGCUAACUACGUGCCAGCAGCCGCGGUAA